GUAUGUUGACCUCGGGAUUGGGUAGACUUAUCCGAAUCUAGUCAUUAAACGGGAUUCAACAUUUUUAUUGUGCAGAAUCGAUAUGUUGGCCUCAUGACAUCGGGUAUUGGUUAAACCUAUCCAGAUCUAGUCAUUAAACGGUAUUUAGCAAGCCAAGAAGCAUAAGUAAAAGCAACAUGGGUAAGCAGCAUAAGCAGCUGGUGGCUUUCGCACGCCGCGCUCUCUCUCUAAGCGGCUUUUGACGUACUUUUCAAAGCUUCUACUUCUACUUCAACAACGAGUGCUUUGACAUUGCUAACACAUGCAAAGCUCGUUGCCUACACUGGCCUUAGACGCCACCUAAAGGGUUAUAGAGAAUUAGAGAUAUAUGUAACUACUUAUAUUAGUGGAUGGAUGUUCACCGAAAGCCAAUAUAGCUCGCGGUCCUUAUCUAGUUUCAUAUAGCUCGCGAGAGAAAAAGGUAUCAUAGGUAGUAGACUUAGACACAGCUAUAGUGACCCGAAUGACUAGCUAUAGGUAUAUAGGGUACCUUAGCUAGCUAUAGUAAUGGAUUGCGCCCGUCCAAGCCCAUAGUCAGGUUCGUUGGUAGCCUUAGUCUGAUA
RNAcentral lists this long non-coding RNA (602 nucleotides) under Amborella trichopoda. Its description in RNAcentral is "long non-coding RNA (ATRI_LNC005131)". The record is from RNAcentral. Lineage: Eukaryota; Viridiplantae; Streptophyta; Magnoliopsida; Amborellales; Amborellaceae.